GUGCUCUCUUCAGCAGCACAUAGACUAAAAUUGGAACGAUACAGAGAAGAUUAGUAUGGCCCCUGCACAAGGAUGACACGCAAAUUCAUGAAGCGUUACAUAUAUAU
This 107-nucleotide small nuclear RNA is filed under the name Microcebus murinus (gray mouse lemur). Lineage: Eukaryota; Metazoa; Chordata; Mammalia; Primates; Cheirogaleidae. The record is from RNAcentral.